UAAUACCGUACCUCACAGCACAACUAAUACAAGUGAAUAGAGUUGGCAAAAACUACGAUAAAACCUGUUGGAAAGCAUCUUUUGCAGCGAUUUUUGUGUGAGCAUAUCAGUGAACACCUCUGACCACUCGGCAAAAGUAAAUUUAGGAAUUAAAAGAGAGAGAGAGAGAGUCUAAUGGUUCCUACACAAUCAGGACGAUCUUUCUUCCACAGGUACGGGACCUCAACCACCUGCAUCAACAUUCCCUUCAGGUUCACGAUUACAACAGCACCCAGCACUGACUGCGGUCACACAACACACCAGACAACUGCUUACAAUACAUUUCUCAUAAACUAGCACCGAGACCAUCACCACAAGCGCUGUGACCAGAUCGUGGAUGUUUGUUGAGGCCCUCGAAACCAGUGAUGUUGGCAGCUGGACCCUCAUCUGGUACCAGUCUGGUAACUACCGUGCCCACCAUGAGACUCAACACAGGAAAAGCUCCUAGGAAAAACAAUAGCACAGAAGAGUAUUAACAUUUAUCAUAAAAUUUAAAUUCCUCCGGGACAAAGCAACUUCCGAAGAUAACAAGGAAGUUUUCCACUAAAUGAUCAUCUGCAUUUUCACUGGAGGUUUCCAGCUGGAUGAAGAGAACGGCGUCAUGGACGGUGAUGAAGAGCAGAUCUCUGGUGACCUCUUCAUCAAAGAACGACAGGGCUUCCAUUCUCCUGACAAGCUCAGCUGUAACAUGAGGAGACCUGAGGUUAUUCACUGUCUUCAAAUCACUGUGUUUGGUUAUCCUGAGCCCAGUUUAUAACAUCAUAACUGAGCCAGAUCUUACCAUCACAGCCUGCGAUGUAGACACCAACGCCAAUUCGUAUAAACUCCUUGAUGAGCUAUGAAGAUAAGAGAGAAUGACCUGCGUGUUACAACACUUAUACAGGACUAUUACAAUACACAAAUGGAACACACAAAACUGAUGUGCAAUAAAGAUAGCUCACCAGCUUAAGGGACUUUGCAGCUACCACAUCUAUAAACGAGACAGCAGAGAAAUCCACCACAAGGCUGUGAAUGUGGACCCUGGGUACCGACACAUUGACAGGAAGCUCUGAUGUCCAAUCUACUUGGACCUUCACCUCUGGCUGUUUUGUCCCAUCUACGAGCUCAGGACCCUUUUCACUUUCAAAGGCUUUGUUAUCUACUCCCAUUGAGGCUACUGGUACCAAACCAUCCUGUGAAGAUAUUUGGUGUCAGAGUACAGCCACAUCAGACAUCUGCAUGAACAUUCCCUUCAGGUUAGCUAUAACAAUACCGGCCAACACUGACUGUGGGACAGUAAAGGAGAAUAUGAAGAUAAGUCUCUGUUCUUUAAAGGGGGCAUUUCACCAGACUUUUUUAAGAUGUAAAAUAAAUCGUUGGUGUCCCUAGAGUCCAUAUGUGAAGUUUUAGCUCAAAAUAUCAUAUACAGGUAGAUAAUUUAUUAUAACAUGUUAAAAUUGCCACUUUGUAGGUGUGAGCAAAAAUGUGCCGUUUUGGGUGUGUCCUUUAAAAUGCAAAUGAGCUGACCUCUGUGAUAAAUGGCGGUGUCGUGGUUGGAUAGUGCAGAUUAAUGGGCGGUAUUAUCCCCUUCUGACAUCACAUGGGGAGCCAAAUUUCAGUGACCUAUUUUUUCACAUGUUUGCAGAGAAUGGUUUACCAAAACUAAACUACUGGGUUGAUCUUUUUCACAUUUUCUAGAUUGAUAUUAUAGCACUUAAACAUGGAAAAAGUCGCCCUUAAUGCACAAUGAAUAGUAACUGUAUUUCUAAUACAUUUUUACUUUAUUAAACCAUCAUUUUGGCCUGUCACCCUGUCGUAACUGCCCUAACAUUACACAAUAUUCAUAUUCAGAAAAAAAAGGAUUUUACUAAAUAAUAAAUAUGUUUAAUACUAAACUUAAUAUUUUACAUGUAUAUCUAAUGUCAGAUAAAUGUCUUGCUACCUUACCUCUACAAUGAGGUCUGUAAAGCCCCAUGAAUCAAAAGUGUAAAGCCGUAUUAAACACACGAGGAGGUAAUCAGACCCCCUUUUAGAUGCAAUUUUCAAAUCUUUGCUAUUUAUACUGCUAGAUCAAAAUGAUAGUACAUGCCGAACUAUGGCUAUGCAAAGAUUUUACAGAUAUUUCA
Molecule: non-coding RNA, 2144 nt
Organism: Paramisgurnus dabryanus
Lineage: Eukaryota; Metazoa; Chordata; Actinopteri; Cypriniformes; Cobitidae
Source: RefSeq, a predicted model, not a curated record